Long non-coding RNA from Rosa rugosa (rugosa rose), 2120 nucleotides. RefSeq lists it as uncharacterized. The record is from RefSeq and is a predicted model, not a curated record. NCBI's taxonomy places the organism in Eukaryota, Viridiplantae, Streptophyta, Magnoliopsida, Rosales, Rosaceae. The transcript is spliced from 2 exons.
CAAUUAGACGCCACGUCAGCGCCAUGUAAGCGAGGUGGAUGGUAAAAUGUCCAUUAUGCCCCUAUUCUUCCUUCUUUCUUUCUUUUUAAUUUCUUUCUGUCUCUUUUCUUUCUUUUGUUUACACCCAACCGGCCACCACCGAACGGAGCCAUGCGUUGAGCAAAAUCCACCACCACCGAGCUCUCCACCACCACUACCCAGCUUACCAUCCAAAAACAUCCUCGGAUUUGCCCAAAACCCUAAGGUCCUUUUUCGGAUAUGGUGAUUUGGGGUUGAGGAUUUGGAUUCAGAUUACCCAAAUCCAAAUCAAUAUGUUUGUUACCCAAACCCAGAUUUAAAUCAAUUCGAUUCACACAAGUCGACGUUGGGGUACGUGAUUGGCGGAGUUGAAAAUGUGGGUGGGCAUUGCGGUUGCAAUGUUGUCUUCGAAGGAGCCGCGAUUCUCAAAGCGGCCGGAGCCAUACUCGAAGCUAUUACUUUGGGCCUGCCAUAUCUUGUCUAGGAGACCGCCAAUCCAGCCUUUCUGUAGAUCAGGUUAGUGGUGGCACUGUUGGUUGGAACGCGGUACGCGCCGUCGCCGGAUUUGCCGAAUCUGUGCUUCUCCAUUCUCCAAACUCCAGCUCGAAUCGAGUUAAACGACUUCCAUAAUUAGAAUAAGCACCUUAACACCCACACGCUUCCAAGACGCCGCCUUUCGGUUUCGAUCAGAGCCGCCACACGCACCACCUUGAAAUUGGACUGCUAUAGCUACGCUGGCAUGUGGACUGCUAUAGCUACGCUGUGUAUGCCGGCGUAGUCCAAUCGUUCUGGUAAGCUAGCCCUGAAGCCUCUUUCAUUAUCUGAUUGAGUUCCAGCCUUGAAAUUGGUGGAUUUCUGAUGUUUAGUUCUUCGAUUUGCAAUAUCUGAAUUUUGGGUUUGGAGGAAACAAUGGACUUCAGAUUGGAAGGAGAGCUUCUGGUCUUGAUUUUUAUAAAGCCUUAAGGGAAGGAUGAAGAUCUGAUGAAAACAGCGAGUUCCAAUACGUCGUGGAGUUUUGGCCUCGACAAAACAUUGAAAUAGGGUAAGAAACCCAAGCCUUUAACUGUGAAUUUGAUUUUGUUGGGAAAUUGAGAUUAUUGUGAAUGUUGUUUUGUGGUGGAGAUGAAUACAUGGAGUUUUGGGUUAAGGACAAUUAGCUGAGACUACCACCUAGAAGGGAGGAAUUGGAAUGAUUAUGAAGAAGGUUACAUGACAUGCAAAUUGCUGAGGUGGCGUAGCUUGGAUUUCCACAUCAGCAAGUUAACUGCCGAAUUUGACGGAAUGUUAACGGUGAGGACCUAUUAGACGGAAAUUGAGACCUCAUGGACUUUUCAGAUUAAAUUAAAAUGUCAGGGACUGAAACGAUGAGAGAGGCAUAGUACAGGGAUUAAACAAAAUUUUUCCCUAUUGUUUGGCUCUAGUUUUUCUUGAGCUGGUCAACAGUCUCUUUUCUUGCGCGGGCGUGCCAGCACCGUUCGGGUGCGGUCGUCUGGGGUGUCCCUUGACCUGACUUCUUUCGAGCGACUGUAGACGAGGAGAGCACCAACUUCGUCGCGGGAUUCUUCUGUGCCUCGUGGUGAGGACUUUGUCUUGUAUCACCAAGUUGAUACUCAACGUUGUAGGUCGAGCAGUGCGAAAUCACUUGGAAGUAGGGAGAACUUGCUAAAGCGUGACUUUAGCUUGGCUGGUUUGCGAGAGCGUUACCUUUGCUUAGCUGGUUCCGUAACCGUUGUGUCGUGGUACUACAGUCGACUCCCGAGGAGACUAGGACCGAAGCACAUUGACAGAGGGUUUGGUGGCACUGACAGUCGGCUCUUGAGAAGACUAGGACUGGAGUGUGAUCACCGGUAAGAGAAGGAGAGGAGUUGCUCUUAGAGAGAGGUUGCUCUAGAGAGGCUUGGAUAAUCUUAGAGAUUGUAUUGAUGAAUUGUGUUGUCUAUUGUUACUUGUUGUAGCCUCUAUAUAUAGGCUACCAAGCCAUAGUGGUUGGCCUUAAACAAAUCAUGAUGGGUUAGAUUUGAGCACUUAAACACUAAUGGAAUUGUUAGGUUUAAGCACUUAAACACUAAUGGAAUGUUAGGUUUAAGCACUUACUGCUCCAA